Molecule: unclassified non-coding RNA, 339 nt
Filed under: soil metagenome
Description: partial contains 5.8S ribosomal RNA, internal transcribed spacer 2, and large subunit ribosomal RNA
Rfam family: 5.8S ribosomal RNA (bases 1-120)
Source: RNAcentral
GAUGAAGAACGUAGCGAAAUGCGAUACGUAGUGUGAAUCGCAGAAUUCAGUGAAUCAUCGAAUCUUUGAACGCACAUUGCACCUCUCGGUAUUCCGGGAGGUAUGCCUGUUCGAGCGUCAUUUGUACCCUCAAGCUCUGCUUGGUGUUGGGUGUUUGUUCCGCCUCUGUGUGUGAACUCGCCUCAAAACAAUUGGCAGCCGGCGUACUUGUUUCGGAGCGCAGCACAUUUUGCGAUCCAGAUCAACGUACAGCGGCAUCCAAGAAGCCUUAUUUAACGCUCUUGACCUCGGAUCAGGUAGGGAUACCCGCUGAACUUAAGCAUAUCAAUAAGCGGAGGA